CAGAAUGAACGUUGGCGGCGUGGAUUAGGCAUGCAAGUCGAGCGCGAACCAGUCUUCGGACUGGGGAGAGCGGCGAACGGGGUAGGAUCACCUCGGUGACGUACCCCCCGGUCGGGGAUAGCGGCGGGAAACUGCCGGUAAUACCCGAUGAUCUUCCCAGGUUUUACGACAGGGGAAGCAAAGGUGAGAUUCCGUCGGGGGAGCGGCUGAGGUCGUAUUAGCUAGUUGGUAAGGUAACGGCUUACCAAGGCGAUGAUGCGUAGGGGGUGUGAGAGCAUGGCCCCCACCACUGGCACUGAGACACUGGCCAGACACCUACGGGUGGCUGCAGUCGAGAAUCUUCGGCAAUGGGCGCAAGCCUGACCGAGCGACGCCGCGUGCGGGAUGAAGGUCUUCGGAUUGUAAACCGCUGUCGGAGGGGAUGAAAUGCAGGGGGGUACUCCCCCCUGUUUGACAGAGCCUCGGAGGAAGCACGGGCUAAGUUCGUGCCAGCAGCCGCGGUAAUACGAACUGUGCGAACGUUAUUCGGAAUCACUGGGCUUAAAGGGUGCGUAGGCGGCGACUCAAGUCAGGUGUGAAAUCCCCCGGCUCAACCGGGGAACUGCGCUUGAAACUGGGUCGCUCGAGUGAGGUAGGGGUGUAUGGAACUUCCGGUGGAGCGGUGAAAUGUGUAGAUAUCGGAAGGAACGCCGGCGGCGAAAGCGGUACACUGGGCCUUGUCUGACGCUGAGGCACGAAAGCUAGGGGAGUGAACGGGAUUAGAUACCCCGGUAAUCCUAGCCGUAAACACUGAGCACUGGAGGAGAGGGGCUUCGGCCUUUCUCCUCGCAGCGAAAGCGUUAAGUGCUCCGCCUGGGGAGUAUGGA
This 866-nucleotide ribosomal RNA is filed under the name uncultured bacterium. Its description in RNAcentral is "bacterial SSU rRNA". It matches the Rfam family "Bacterial small subunit ribosomal RNA", at positions 25 to 886 of the family's 1533-position model. The record is from RNAcentral.